GCUGGAGCGAAUAGAAGUGAGCAUGCAGGCAUGAGUAGCGAUAAUUAAUGUGAGAAUCAUUAACGCCGUAAACCCAAGGUUUCCUACGCGAUGCUCGUCAUCGUAGGGUUAGUCGGGUCCUAAGUCGAGUCCGAAAGGGGUAGACGAUGGCAAAUUGGUUAAUAUUCCAAUACCAACAUUAGUGUGCGAUGGAAGGACGCUUAGGGCUAAGGGGGCUAGCGGAUGGAAGUGCUAGUCUAAGGUCGUAGGAGGUUAUACAGGCAAAUCCGUAUAACAAUACUCCGAGAACUGAAAGGCUUUUUGAAGUCUUCGGAUGGAUAGAAGAACCCCUGAUGCCGUCGAGCCAAGAAAAGUUUCUAAGUUUAGCUAAUGUUGCCCGUACCGUAAACCGACACAGGUGGGUGGGAUGAGUAUUCUAAGGCGCGUGGAAGAACUCUCUUUAAGGAACUCUGCAAAAUAGCACCGUAUCUUCGGUAUAAGGUGUGGUUAGCUUUGUAUUAGGAUUUACUCCGAAAGCAAGGAAACUUACAACAAAGAGUCCCUCCCGACUGUUUACCAAAAACACAGCACUCUGCUAACUCGUAAGAGGAUGUAUAGGGUGUGACGCCUGCCCGGUGCUCGAAGGUUAAUUGAUGGGGUUAGCAUUAGCGAAGCUCUUGAUCGAAGCCCGAGUAAACGGCGGCCGUAACUAUAACGGUCCUAAGGUAGCGAAAUUCCUUGUCGGUUAAAUACCGACCUGCAUGAAUGGCGUAACGAGAUGGGAGCUGUCUCAAAGAGGGAUCCAGUGAAAUUGUAGUGGAGGUGAAAAUUCCUCCUACCCGCGGCAAGACGGAAAGACCCCGUGGACCUUUACUACAGCUUGACACUGCUACUUGGAUAAGAAUGUGCAGGAUAGGUGGGAGGCUUUGAGUAUAUGACGCCAGUUGUAUAUGAGCCAUUGUUGAGAUACCACUCUUUCUUAUUUGGGUAGCUAACCAGCUUGAGUUAUCCUCAAGUGGGACAAUGUCUGGUGGGUAGUUUGACUGGGGCGGUCGCCUCCCAAAUAAUAACGGAGGCUUACAAAGGUUGGCUCAGAACGGUUGGAAAUCGUUCGUAGAGUAUAAAGGUAUAAGCCAGCUUAACUGCAAGACAUACAAGUCAAGCAGAGACGAAAGUCGGUCUUAGUGAUCCGGUGGUUCUGUGUGGAAGGGCCAUCGCUCAAAGGAUAAAAGGUACCCCGGGGAUAACAGGCUGAUCUCCCCCAAGAGCUCACAUCGACGGGGAGGUUUGGCACCUCGAUGUCGGCUCAUCGCAUCCUGGGGCUGGAGCAGGUCCCAAGGGUAUGGCUGUUCGCCAUUUAAAGCGGUACGCGAGCUGGGUUCAGAACGUCGUGAGACAGUUCGGUCCCUAUCUGCCGUGGGCGUAAGAAGAUUGAAGAGAUUUGACCCUAGUACGAGAGGACCGGGUUGAACAAACCACUGGUGUAGCUGUUGUUCUGCCAAGAGCAUCGCAGCGUAGCUAAGUUUGGAAAGGAUAAACGCUGAAAGCAUCUAAGCGUGAAGCCAACUCUAAGAUGAAUCUUCUCUAAGCUCUCUAGAAGACUACUAGUUUGAUAGGCUGGGUGUGUAAUGGAUGAAAGUCCUUUAGCUGACCAGUACUAAUAGAGCGUUUGGCUUAUCUUU
This 1661-nucleotide ribosomal RNA is filed under the name Campylobacter jejuni. RNAcentral's name for it is "partial 23S ribosomal RNA". It matches the Rfam family "Bacterial large subunit ribosomal RNA", at positions 1272 to 2925 of the family's 2925-position model. Lineage: Bacteria; Pseudomonadati; Campylobacterota; Epsilonproteobacteria; Campylobacterales; Campylobacteraceae. The record is from RNAcentral.